RNAcentral lists this ribosomal RNA (254 nucleotides) under uncultured bacterium. RNAcentral describes it as "partial 16S ribosomal RNA". It matches the Rfam family "Bacterial small subunit ribosomal RNA", at positions 524 to 776 of the family's 1533-position model. The record is from RNAcentral.
UACGUAGGGGGCGAGCGUUGUCCGGAUUCAUUGGGCGUAAAGAGCUCGUAGGCGGUUCGGUAAGUCAGAUGUGAAAACUCCAGGCUCAACUUGGAGACGCCAUCUGAUACUGUCGUGACUAGAGUCCGGUAGGGGAGCACGGAAUUCCUGGUGUAGCGGUGAAAUGCGCAGAUAUCAGGAGGAACACCAGCGGCGAAGGCGGUGCUCUGGGCCGGAACUGACGCUGAGGAGCGAAAGCGUGGGUAGCGAACAGG